UGCUGUCCCCUUCAUUGUCUCUAACCCAAGAUUGUUCUGCAGCAGGGUGUUUUGGGGUAAAGCCUGCGCUAAUCUUCUGGCUAGAAGCAGGAGCCCUGUGGAGACUGCCAGGAAGCCUGUUUGCGGUAAAACUCGAGCCAGAAAUCCAUCCUUGUCCCUACUGCUCUCUUGCCUUCUCCAAUCAGAACUUCCUCAGCCUUAGUCAUCACAUGAAACAAAGUCAUCCCUCUUGGAUCCUCCUGGGAAUAUCUACAAGAAAGCACCCUCAAUCAGAAAAUUUCUUUCUACGUGAUCAGAACCAAUGGCAGCAGCAUUCUGAUCCAUAUAAUGACAAACCAAAGAAUGACAUACUUGAAAGUCAGAAGCACAAAGAAAGAUCCAUACAUUUGACUAGUAGGAUGAAGCAUACAAUUUGAACAAUGUUUUCUAGACUAUUUAGCAGCCAAAUAGGUAGCUCUAGUAAACAGAUGACAAUGGAGGAAGACAUUAAUACAGGCCUGAAAGAAAAUCCAAAGGACACAGGUGGAGUAGUUCUGGGGAUAGAAUUACCAUUAAUUUUAAGAGACAAGUAUGUAAGGCCUGAGCACGGCUUCAACGAUGGAUCGAGUCUCAUCACACAUCAAAUGACUCACACAGAGGAGAAGCCCCAUGUUUGUAGAGUGUGUGGCCGAGGCUUUGGUUGGAGGUCAAUUCUUAUCACACACCAGA
Long non-coding RNA from Suncus etruscus (white-toothed pygmy shrew), 708 nucleotides. RefSeq lists it as uncharacterized. Lineage: Eukaryota; Metazoa; Chordata; Mammalia; Eulipotyphla; Soricidae. The transcript has 2 exons. The record is from RefSeq and is a predicted model, not a curated record.